This 71-nucleotide transfer RNA is filed under the name Camelus bactrianus (Bactrian camel). It matches the Rfam family "tRNA". From Rfam's summary of the family: Transfer RNA (tRNA) molecules are approximately 80 nucleotides in length. Their secondary structure includes four short double-helical elements and three loops (D, anti-codon, and T loops). RNAcentral also lists the same sequence under 1 other name. Lineage: Eukaryota; Metazoa; Chordata; Mammalia; Artiodactyla; Camelidae. The record is from Rfam by way of RNAcentral.
GAGCAUGUAGCUCAGUGGUAGAGCAUGUGCUUAGCAGGCACGAGGUCCUGGGUUCAAUCCCCAGCAACUCA